AGAGUUUGAUCCUGGCUCAGAACGAACGUUAGCGGCGCGCCUAACACAUGCAAGUCGCACGAGAAAGGGCUUCGGCCCCGGUACAGUGGCGCACGGGUGAGUAACACGUGGGUAAUGUUCCCUCGGGCGGGGGAUAACCCUCCGAAAGGAAGGCUAAUACCGCAUAAGACCACGGCUUCGAAAGGAGCCGAGGUAAAAGC
Molecule: ribosomal RNA, 200 nt
Filed under: uncultured bacterium
Lineage: Bacteria
Description: partial 16S ribosomal RNA
Rfam family: Bacterial small subunit ribosomal RNA
Source: RNAcentral